Etheostoma spectabile (orangethroat darter) is the source of this 920-nucleotide long non-coding RNA. RefSeq lists it as uncharacterized. The transcript is spliced from 2 exons. The record is from RefSeq and is a predicted model, not a curated record. NCBI's taxonomy places the organism in Eukaryota, Metazoa, Chordata, Actinopteri, Perciformes, Percidae.
GGGAGCUCUCUGCUAUAAUAUAUAUCUGUGGCUAUGAUGCUCUAGGUGGGUUUAGAAUAAUAGACAAGCGGGCGAUGGGUGCAACAACAACUGCCAAUUCCGACUACAGCGCGAUGACGGGGGAAAAAAAGAAGAGAAAUGCAAUAAUUCGACAAUAGGAGAUGGCAAAUUUUUGGGAGAACACAAAUCGUGCAACGCUACUUAGUGAAUCAGCGGUGAUUACCGUUUCACUGUGAAUGCCUCGUCAUUCUCUUUUCGCGCUGGCCUUCCCGCAACAGUCUACCUCGACACCAAGAAAACGUUCCGUUACUGAACGGACAAAGCUAGUAACGUUAGAUGUGACAACAACCAGUUAAGUUCAAUACAAAACGUAGGCUUGCAGUGGUUAGUUGUGGGGCGCUUUCAGACGUAACAUUAGCUACUAACGUUGAGGAGAUUGGGUGGGGAAGGGCCUAGGUUCUGUUGGCUAACGUUAACGUUGAAAUAUCUUCGUGUGACGUUAGCUAAAGGUCUGGUUUAAACCCAUGUAGCUAGCUAAUAACAUGCUAAAUACGUCCAGUUGUGUAAAAUGUGACCCAUUUGUCUGUCUGCAAUCCCGUAAUGGUGGCAUUGUGUAUAUAGGUAGCAAUGUGGUUCUGUGUUACACUCUGCUUGUGCUAGCAUGCUAACGUUAGCUAUUAGCGAUAAGUUAGACCCGCCAGUUUCCAUGUCGUCGAGGCUGCUAAGAAGACGGGAAACAAAGAAGCGAGAAAAUGGACGCCUUGGCCUAAACUCUCCAACCAAAUCGUCGAACUAUUCAAAGCUGUGCUGGCCAUGCUUCCUGGAGCGAAGAGUCUCGGUAUGCUGUCCUGAGAUGUCUCCACGUGCCUGUGCGCCAUCUUCCCCUCCUCUCCUGCGCCACACAGUGAAUUAAAGGACAA